UACGUAGGGGGCAAGCGUUAUCCGGAUUUACUGGGUGUAAAGGGAGCGUAGACGGCCAGACAAGUCUGAAGUGAAAGUCCAGCGCUUAACGCUGGAAGUGCUUUGGAAACUGCCGGGCUGGAGUGCAGGAGGGGCAGGCGGAAUUCCUAGUGUAGCGGUGAAAUGCGUAGAUAUUAGGAGGAACACCAGUGGCGAAGGCGGCCUGCUGGACUGCAACUGACGUUGAGGCUCGAAGGCGUGGGGAGCAAACAGG
RNAcentral lists this ribosomal RNA (253 nucleotides) under uncultured bacterium. RNAcentral's name for it is "partial 16S ribosomal RNA". It matches the Rfam family "Bacterial small subunit ribosomal RNA", at positions 524 to 776 of the family's 1533-position model. The record is from RNAcentral.